CCCCUCCUUUUUUCGAAAUGUUCUCAUCGCUGGAACUCCCCAACGCGAGGCGAAAGUGGAAUCAUGCCCGAAACAUGACCCACCUAACCGCGCUCCUUAACACACGCCACGUUAACCCGGAAACCAGCCGCACCAAUGUGUCGGAUGAAACACAUUCCCGUAUGCACAUUCCAUGAUCGAACGUUCUAAACACACUUCUUACCAGCAAAAAAGAAGAAGUUGUUAUCGACGAUAUAACGUUACUACCACUAUGUCGCAGUUUUUUACUAGGUGUCUUCAGGACUUGCCUUAAAUUAACAUUAAUUAUGCCUCCGAGACUCCAGCUAACAAGAAUGAAAAGGGGUUCAUAGGAAGUUAUAGGAAGCUAACGUUACAUAGACAACUAUGAAGUAUCUAACAAAGAUACAUUGACCGGAGAGAUCACCGUGAGGGCUGCCUGUCACAGGUCCAUGAGGAAGAGCGAAAAUUUAAUUUUACCUUUAUUUAACCAGAUGGUGUUAAAGCACUCCGUACCAGUGAUAGUGGUCCAGAGCCACUGCUCCUGUAUUGCAGGAAGUGCUAUGUGCAAUCAUCUGGUGGCCCUUCUUUAAAAAAAUGCACCUGAAAAGUAUUCAGCCUAUGUAACAGUAAAUCCUUGUUAAUUAGGGUGUGAAGACCGUUCCGGUUGAUGGGAUAGAGUUCCGUAAACCUACAAACUCGUGUGCUGAUGGAAUAAGAUAAGUUGGAUGUUCCUAGAAUGGAAACAUGUUAGAAAACAUUUUCCUGUGAUUGUUUUUGUAUCCAGAUGAUGAGCCUAAACAGUGGCGUCUUUACGAUGUAAUGACACAUUUUGGGACAAAGACUGGGGGGAAAUAUAUCAUCUAUAAAUCUGUAUUUUAAUUAAUUUUAUUUGAACUUUCUGGCUUGUGCUGUUUCUGGAAAAGUUACAUGAGUCUUUGUCAUAGUAAUCUCGCCAACCUGGUGUUAAGGUUUUAAAAUGUUUUGCAGAAGUUCUCUCUACAUAGCACUCAAUGGAUACAUGCCUGACAUGGACCUUCGCAUCUCAGAAACGUAUGCCAACUUUUCUCUACUUACUUCCCCUCUUGUGACAAUGGAAAUGUCAGCUGCCCCUGGUUGAAUCCGCCUGUCCUAUCAGCUUCCACAGCCAAAGACCAUGGAAUUGUGACGAUUACCGAUGCCCCAUCUCCAAUACUUCCAUUAGAUGGCUACAGUCUUCAGUCUUCCCAGUGUGCUUACGUCCUUAGCCAUCGGGGGCAGUUCCACGUCAAGGCAUUAGAGACAACCUACGAGAUGUCACAGUGAGUCGAGGUUGCAGCCCAGAAUGGCAUCAGCUCAGGAAAAUUAGAAUAACAUCCUCUCGUUUUCGAGAGGUUUGCCAUGUCCGGGGAGAGACCUCGGCUGACCACCUAGCUGAGCGAAUGUUCAAGGGAUCUGGUAUGCAGACCAUUGAGAUGAAGAGGGGGCUAGCCAUUGAGCCAGUGGCUGUACAGGAGUACUGCACACUGAAGAAUGUUAACUUCUUUCUGUGUGGCUUCAUAGUGCACCCAGAUGCUCCGUGGUUAGGAUCCUCUCCAGAUGGCAUCAUAUUUGAUCCCAGUGUGAGACCACACUUUGGACUCUUAGAGGUCAAGUGCCCAAAUGUACCAAGUUAUGUUGAGUGCCCUUACCUGAAGAUACAGAAUGGAGAGCUGAAGUUGAAGAGAUCUCAUGCUUACUACUAGGUGCAAGGUCAAAUCCUUCUCACAGGUUGUAGCUGGUGUGACUGUCCUCCUGUGCACAGAUGACAACCUAGUUGAAAGGAUAUAUAAAGAUCUACAGGUUUCAAAAACUAUAAGAGAGAAGGUUGACCACUUAUUUUUAUCACUACUUGCAGAAGUGUCUCUCGCACCUGAAUGGAUUCCAUGGGUGCCAAGUUCAGUGGUUUCACAAAAAAUAAGUAUUGAUGUUCUUGUGAAGAAAACUAUAGUAGAAUAGAUUUGUUUAAAAAAAAAUAUUUCAGCAAAUGUUCAACAGUUCAGUUAAUCAAUUACACAUCUCCAACAUUGUAUUAAAUCUUGCAUUCUGGCUA
Long non-coding RNA from Oncorhynchus nerka (sockeye salmon), 2068 nucleotides. RefSeq lists it as uncharacterized. Lineage: Eukaryota; Metazoa; Chordata; Actinopteri; Salmoniformes; Salmonidae. The record is from RefSeq and is a predicted model, not a curated record. The transcript is spliced from 3 exons.